AGCUGAGUGUUCUAAGGACGGAGUUAAUCGUGCUCAGCGAUCAGAUCAGAUCAGAACAACCUCUGCUUUUGUCCGGUGAGUCUCUCCCAAUGCAAACUAUAAAACUGAUAACACGAAGGGAUGCUGUUAGCGGGAGGAAAUCACUUUAAAACAAACAAACCAGGGCGAUGGUCUCAAAGCAUCGCCGCAAAGCUUCCCCGUCGUUAGUUUAAGGGUUAAUAUACUUCCCUCUUCCUGUUGUUUAGCCAGCGCUAUGUGGGAUGUGGCAGGCUUGCAUUUUUAAGCUGUAGUAAGUGCUUUUACACCCCACGUUUCCUUCAAGGACCUAAAGGUGGUGGGCCUUAAAUAUUUAAAAUACUUAUUUACCAGGAUUUGUAUUUUGCCUAAUAAUAGUGAUACCAUCUGUAAGCGGUUUACAUAAAAUAAUAUGAAACGUUCAUAAAAAAUAGCUUUUUAUUUAUUUUCCAUCUCUCUUCCUUUCUCCUUCUUUAGAGUUCUCCUUUUCUUGUAUUUUCCUCCUUCUGACUUAGCUACUUAAUCUAAAAAAAGAGCGGUUUUAUUUCAGCAUAUAAAAAGAUACUUUGUAAUGAGUAUGUAUUUAUGUAUAUCUUUGAAUAAGUGUGAACAAAUAAAAUUAAAAAUAAGGAUACAAAAGUUAUUAAAAUACAGGUAAAGUGUUGUAGCCAACAUUCAACUCAAAGUAGACUUGUUGAAGUUAAUGGGUUAUUAAUAACUUGGGUUAUUAAUUUCAAUGUGUCUGCUCUGAGCCCGGCUAAUGUUGGAUGCCACCCCAAACAAACAGUUUUAAAAACAAAUUGGACACAUUUUAUUCACAGAAGCAUAGAAGAUGGCUCUCAUAUCACCUCUCGGUCUUCUUUUCUCCAGUCUAACAUACCCAGCUCCCUCAACUGUUCCUCAUAAGGCUUGGUUUCCAGACCCAUGAUAAUCUUGGUUGCUCUUCCUUGCACACUUUCCUGCUUGUCAAUAUCCUUCUUACACUGUGUUGCCCAGAACUGGAUACAGGAUCUGACUAAGGCAGAAUAAGAAUAGAACUGUUACUCCCAUUGAUCUGGACACUAUACUUCUGUUGAUCCAGCCUAGAACAGUGUUAGCUUUUUUUUGUUGCUGCAUCACACUCCUGACUCUUGUUAAGCUUGUAGUCUACUAAGACCCCUAGGACUUUCUUAUAUGUGCUGUGCCCCAUCCUAUAUUUGUCCCUAUUGGAAUCCAUUUUGAUAGUUUUGGCCUAGUCUCCAAUCUGCUAAGGUUUUGUUAAAUCCUUGAAUCUUGACUCUGUCUUAUGUAUUAGCUACAUUUCCUAAUUUGGUGUCAUCUGCAAGUUUGACAAGCACCCGGCCCAGUUCCUUCAACCAAGUCAUUUAUAAAGAUGUUGAACAACACCGGGCCCAGGACAGAACCCUGCGGCACCCCAUUUCUCACUUUUUUCCGGGAUGAUGAGGAACCAUUGGUGAGCACUGUUUGGGUUUGGUCGGUCAGCCAGUUUCAAAUCCACCUAACUAAUAUUGUCUAGCUAGCCUACAUUUUACCAGGAAGCUCUACUUAAAUCAAGAUACACUACAUCCACAGCAUUCCCCUGAUCCAGCAAACUUGUAACU
RNAcentral lists this long non-coding RNA (1616 nucleotides) under Podarcis lilfordi (Lilford's wall lizard). The record is from RNAcentral. Lineage: Eukaryota; Metazoa; Chordata; Lepidosauria; Squamata; Lacertidae.